This 28-nucleotide non-coding RNA is filed under the name Cricetulus griseus (Chinese hamster). Lineage: Eukaryota; Metazoa; Chordata; Mammalia; Rodentia; Cricetidae. The record is from RNAcentral.
UACUGUGACACAUCUACCCUGGCUAGAG